AAUCAAGCCUGGGCAAUGGCGGGCGCCCCUCCCCCAGCCUCGCUGCCGCCUUGCAGUUUGAUCUCAGACUGCUGUGCUAGCAAUCAGCGAGACUCCCUGGGCAUAGGACCCUACGAGCCAGGUGCGGGAUAUAAUCUCGUGUUGCACCGUUUUUUAAGCCUGUCGGAAAAGCGCAGUAUUCUGGUGGGAGUGACCCGAUUUUCCAGGUGCCGUCCAUCACUCCUUUCUUUGACUCAGAAAGGGAACUCCCUGACCCCUUGCGCUUCCCAAGUGAGGCAAUGCCUCGCCCUGCUUCGGCUCGCGCACGGUGCACGCACCCACUGACCUGCGCCCACUGUCUGGCACUCCCUAGUGAGAUGAACCCGGUACCUCAGAUGGAAAUGCAGAAAUCACCCGUCUUCUGCGUCGCUCACGCUGGGAGCUGUAGACCGGAGCUGUUCCUAUUCGGCCAUCUUGGCUCCUCCCUCUGAAGAGUCCAACAGAAAAUUUUAAGUACCUGUUUAAAGCAAUUUACAAGAUACUGUGGAGAUUCCCAGCAAUAAAGAAUGUACUAUAGUUAAGCUGGAAUCCAACUCCUGAAUUUCUGGAGCCCUGAAGACCACUUAGUCUUACUCACAAGAAUUGAAUGGAAUGUGAAUCUACACUCAGGUGAAGCCAGGGUAUUUUGAACGUCCCUACAAGACUGAAGCACCACUGGGAAAUAAGUAAUAGAGAUGCCAUCAUUGUGGAGGUCAUAAUGCUUGUCCUGAACACGAGGGGUCUCUAGUGAGGCACCAAUUCAGCUCCUCUUCUGUGGAGAGACUACAUGGGUGCUGAAGAAACAAAGACACAACGCAGCUCCUCUCAAAGGAGUUCAGAGCUUAGCAGGGGAGACAGAACCAUGAAUGCAUAGUUACGCAUCAAUGUGCUGCACGAGCACUGAAGCCCAAGCACAAGCGGCCUGAGUCCCAGGUCUCACUUUGUCACCCAGGCUGAAGUGGAGUGGCAUGAUCAUAGCUCAUUGUAACCUCAAACUCCUGG
This 1020-nucleotide long non-coding RNA is filed under the name Homo sapiens (human). RNAcentral's name for it is "PREDICTED lncRNA (TCONS_00124769)". Lineage: Eukaryota; Metazoa; Chordata; Mammalia; Primates; Hominidae. The record is from RNAcentral.